GCCUUUGUAGCGCCAAAGUAUCCAAAUUGCGAGACUCUGCAUGCUCCAAAAUUUGGAACUGGUCAUCUCAAAAUUGAGAAUUUGAUUGAAAAAAAAACCCAAAAGGGUUAAGAUGCCCAAAUUCAGAGGAUUUGGACACUUAAAUUGAAUGAUUAAUGGCUCGCCAAAAAGGUGGAUCGAUUAAUUUGAUAGUUGAUGAGCACCUCGGCAGUAUUUUGGGUUGUAUUUCUAUUUAGUUUUCAUUUACUAAUGCCUUUACCGAGUGGCUUUUACUGUUUAACUUAUUUCUUCAUUAGAAGUAUUACUAUUACUUUUAAGUGUUGACUUUUGACUAUACACACACACACACACACAUAUUUUACAUUGAGGUUAGGGUUUCAACGACAGGUUCAAAUUGGCGGCGGGGUUUCAAAUUAGGGUUUCAAACCAGGGUGGCGUUUUAAAUUGGGGCGAGAGAUCCAAAUGAGGUUUCAAAGUAGGUUUUCAAAUUAGCAUUUUAGCAAUUUAGCAUUUCCAUGGAAGUCUUCAAAGAUUUUGCCUGGUUUAAGGAAGUGCGCCUUCAUUCGAGGAUCGGCGUCGUCUGAGGAUUCUGCGGCCAGCUCGGGCAACUCUUUGCUCCGUCGAGCCGCGAAAGCAGCCAACGGCUCACUUCAGAUCGCCGUCACUUGUUCAUCUGCUCCACCAAACUUCUCAUCCUGUAUGGAGUCGUUGCACAAAAAUGUAUUGAAAUGAAUCCCUUUUUGUACAGUUUGUUGAAAAUAAUAAAUCCAAAGUGACGAAAUAAAGCCGCUGCCAUUCGC
This is a long non-coding RNA of Hippocampus zosterae (dwarf seahorse), 800 nucleotides long. RefSeq lists it as uncharacterized. NCBI's taxonomy places the organism in Eukaryota, Metazoa, Chordata, Actinopteri, Syngnathiformes, Syngnathidae. The record is from RefSeq and is a predicted model, not a curated record. The transcript is spliced from 2 exons.